UUGAGGUGUACCUGUGGAUGCAUUUCAGUGCCUACCUUCAAACUCAAUGCCUCCUUGCUUGAUAUCAUGGGAAAAUGAAAAGCCAAGACCUCAGAAAAAAACUGUAGACCUCCACAAGUCUGGUUCACACUAUGGGAGCAAUUUCCAAACGCCUGAAGGCGUCACAUCGAUCAGAGCCUGAAGUCACAGUCCAGGAGCUUGUCAAACCCUUCAACAACCACAAUACCAAGACUAGUAGUACUAUUACUUCUACUACUACUACUACAGAACCACAAUACCAAGACUAGUAGUACUAUUACUUCUACUACUACUACUACAGAACCACAACUACCAAGAGUACUACAACAGAACCAGAAGGAUGGAAACAGCUACCGACUUGGCUCUGGACGACUGAAAUCAUAUCUGUAGCAGCAGCUAUGGACAAGGAGACAGUGGUCAUAAUCCUACAAGGCACGGAGAAAGUCUCCUCUUUUGCCGCCACCAUCAACCCACUCUUCGACAUAGUCACUGCAGUGGUGAAGUUGACAUAGGACCUGGUCGCCAAAGACCUCACCCAAGACCAGGACGCCGACGAAUUCGGCCACAUCCACGCCAAGCUGGAAAACAUCUCCAAGAUAAACCAGCAGAUUCUGAAGCAGAGUCAACUGGACGAGGUCAAUGAGAAGUACAGAAAGUAUGAAGAGUAUAUCAAGCACCAGUACACCACCCCCAACACCAUGGUGGAACAGAUCGAAAAUGAGUUCAGAGUUCCAGAGGGUCUAUGAGAGAGACAAGCUUACCCUUUCUCUAGACACAUAACACUUCUGAACAAAGAGGUUUGCUGGAGGUGUACCUAGAGCAUUACAAGCAAAACCGAGACGUCAUGGAGAAAAAGUGUUCCCAAUUGGCUAAUAUCUUUCACAUGGGCCUGAUGACACGAAUGGCAUAUACAGUGGUCAGAGAGGAGGGUGAAUGUUGAAGUCAGGGAGAAAUGGGCCCCCAGGGUGGAGAAGAUUCAGGCCAAGAUGGAUGAGGCGCUGGCCCAGUGUGAGGGGAACUGAUCCUCAUCCACUCCCAGGGUCGGGUGGCAUAUGAGGGCUUUAAAGGGAUACUUUGGGAUUUUGGCAAUGAGGCCCUUUAUCUACUUCACCAGAGUCAGACCAUUUUUAUGUCUGUUGUCCAGUAUAAAGGAAGUUAGAGGUAGUUAUGUGAGUCAAUGCUAACUAGCAUUAGCGCAAUGACUGGAAGUCUAUGGGGUUGUAACGUUUCUCGUCUUCCUCUGACGAGGAGUAUGACAGAUCGGACCAAUGUACAGUGUGGUAAGUGUCCAUAAUAUAUUUUAAUGAAAUAUCACUGGACACAGAAAACAAAAGGAACAAGAGAAAUAAAUGAAAACCAACACAGUCCCGUGUGGAACAAACACUGACACGGAAAAAUAAUCACCCACAAAACACAGAUAGGAAAAGUCUACCUAAGUAUGAUUCUCAAUUAGAGACAACGACGACAACUGCCUCUGAUUGAGAACCAUACUAGGCCAUGAAUGUAAGAUUAACCAUAAUGGGUAUCUAUUUGAACAGACAUACACACAUGCAAAUCUAAUAGUGCCACUGAUGCAACCUAGCACUUUCAGUAUCAAAUAAAUAAAUAAACAUUAUCUAUCCUGUGGACACUAUUAACAGAGCAUGCUGAUUGUGAUUGUAAACCAACCAAGUGCAGUGACAACACUAAACUAACCACACAGCAAUACAAAAGGUCAAAGUAAACAUUAGCUUUAAGUGCUUCCUCUCUUAUGUGUUCUCUUGUAUCUCAGAGAAAUUAAGUAUUAGAACAAAUCUUUGUUUGUUUUUCUAAGGGUGUGUUCAUAAAUUCACUCUGGCCAUCUACUCCGAUUUCAGAGCACUCUCGUCUGAGUGUGUCAGAGCGUAGAAUAACUGAUUAAUCUACGAACACGCAACACCUGUUGAAUAUGACCUGUGUCAGUAAACGUCUGCAAAAAAAACAUAAUUAGAUUGUUGCCAGCAGCACAGUUAGUCACCAACACUAUAAACAACAUGAAAACAGCCUAACCAGCUAUUCUAGGGCGAGUAAAAUGGUCAGAGUGAGGUUUUCUCCUAAGUGUGAAGUAGCUAGCAAGCUAGUCAACUUUAGCCAGUUAGUUUGGGUGCAUGACUUGUGAGAUCAACCCUACUCCUCGGCCAGAGCGUCCACUGUGCCCUCUAAAUGCUCCAGAGCGAAACGCUCUGAAUAUACAAACAGAGAAUCUGACAACGCUCUAAAUUAUACGAAUGUGCAGAGCGCACAAAUUACGAACACACCCUAAAUAAUUACAUUUCUGGGGAAUUGUCUCUGCUCUGUGACACUCUUUCUUUUCACUUAUAUUGUAUUAUUUUCAUAUUUUGAAGCCAUUUACACCAAAAGUAGCGUAAGAUAUCAAAAAUCACUCUAAAAGACAUUAUGGGGAUGUUUUCUAGAUGUUUUGGGGAUUUUAUAUAUCUUAAUUUGCCAUAGCAGUUUUGAUUUUGAUCAGUAUCCUCUCAUAACUGACCAACAAUGUCUCCUCUUACGCUGUGGUUCAUGUUCCGUGUCCCCUUAACUGUGUCUUUGCCUAAGAAACGGUUCACAAAGUUACGUUCUCUACUUCAUUUGUUCUUGUGCUCUAAAGCACUGUAGUUUGAUUUGAUCUCUUCUGUGCUAUUAACCCCACUAUUCAGAUUUCCAGUGUUACUGAUGCCAUUUCUAUGCUCACCGAUCCAUAUCUGUGAUUCAUAACCCUAUACUCAAUGGAAUGGCUAUUCUGUGGUACCAGUCCCUGUCUCUCAUAUUGUUACAACCGAGAUGUAUGGCUGUUAAAUAGUUAUAAUUCUGCAUUAUUAAAAUGAAUUAGAUGGGAAUAUAUUUACCUCUAGGGCUUUCUGAAAAUAUACGCUCCUCAUCUAAAUGUCAU
Oncorhynchus tshawytscha (Chinook salmon) is the source of this 2923-nucleotide long non-coding RNA. The record is from Ensembl. Lineage: Eukaryota; Metazoa; Chordata; Actinopteri; Salmoniformes; Salmonidae.